Molecule: ribosomal RNA, 1268 nt
Filed under: Aeromonas caviae
Lineage: Bacteria; Pseudomonadati; Pseudomonadota; Gammaproteobacteria; Aeromonadales; Aeromonadaceae
Description: partial 23S ribosomal RNA
Rfam family: Bacterial large subunit ribosomal RNA
Source: RNAcentral
GUUGUAUGGUUAAGUGACUAAGCGUACAUGGUGGAUGCCUUGGCAGUCAGAGGCGAUGAAGGACGUACUAACCUGCGAUAAGCCGUGAGCAGUCGGUAAGAGACAUUACGACUCACGGAUUUCCGAAUGGGGAAACCCACUUAGCAUAAGCUAGGUAUCGCUGCGUGAAUACAUAGCGUAGCGAGGCGAACCGGGAGAACUGAAACAUCUAAGUACCCCGAGGAAAAGAAAUCAACCGAGAUUCCCUCAGUAGCGGCGAGCGAACGGGGAUUAGCCCUUAAGCAUCUUGGAAGUUAGUGGAACGGUCCUGGAAAGGCCGGCGAUACAGGGUGAUAGCCCCGUACACGAAAACAACCUUGAUGUGAAAUCGAGUAGGGCGGGACACGUGACAUCCUGUCUGAAUAUGGGGGGACCAUCCUCCAAGGCUAAAUACUCCUGACUGACCGAUAGUGAACCAGUACCGUGAGGGAAAGGCGAAAAGAACCCCUGUGAGGGGAGUGAAAUAGAACCUGAAACCGUGUACGUACAAGCAGUGGGAGCCCUUCGGGGUGACUGCGUACCUUUUGUAUAAUGGGUCAGCGACUUACAUUUUGUAGCGAGGUUAACCGUAUAGGGGAGCCGUAGGGAAACCGAGUCUUAACUGGGCGUCUAGUUGCAAGGUGUAGACCCGAAACCGGGUGAUCUAGCCAUGGGCAGGUUGAAGGUUGAGUAACAUCAACUGGAGGACCGAACCCACUAACGUUGCAAAGUUAGGGGAUGACCUGUGGCUGGGGGUGAAAGGCCAAUCAAACUCGGAGAUAGCUGGUUCUCCCCGAAAGCUAUUUAGGUAGCGCCUCGGACGAAUACUACUGGGGGUAGAGCACUGUUUGGGCUAGGGGGUCAUCCCGACUUACCAACCCCAUGCAAACUCCGAAUACCAGUAAGUACUAUCCGGGAGACACACGGCGGGUGCUAACGUCCGUCGUGAAGAGGGAAACAACCCAGACCGCCGGCUAAGGUCCCAAAGUUCUGGUUAAGUGGGAAACGAUGUGGGAAGGCUCAGACAGCUAGGAUGUUGGCUUAGAAGCAGCCAUCAUUUAAAGAAAGCGUAAUAGCUCACUAGUCGAGUCGGCCUGCGCGGAAGAUGUAACGGGGCUCAAACCAGGCACCGAAGCCGCGGAUUCACGCUAAGCGUGAGUGGUAGGGGAGCGUUCUGUAAGUCUGCGAAGGUGUAUCGAGAGGUAUGCUGGAGAUAUCAGAAGUGCGAAUGCUGACGUAAGUAACGAUAA